This 87-nucleotide transfer RNA is filed under the name Planctomycetaceae bacterium. RNAcentral describes it as "tRNA-Ser". Lineage: Bacteria; Pseudomonadati; Planctomycetota; Planctomycetia; Planctomycetales; Planctomycetaceae. The record is from RNAcentral.
GGAAGUCAUCCGGCUGGAUGAGGGGCUUGUCUUGAAAACAGGUGACUGCAGGAAUGUGGUUUGUGAGUUCGAGUCUCACGGCUUCCG